AAGUCAUAACAAGGUUUCCGUAGGUGAACCUGCGGAAGGAUCAUUAGAGAUUGGCCGAAAGGCUAUUACCCACACACACUGUGAACCGUGGCUUCGGCCUAAACUUUUGUGUAUGAAUGUAAAUUAUUAUAACAAAUACAA
Molecule: unclassified non-coding RNA, 141 nt
Filed under: plant metagenome
Description: partial contains small subunit ribosomal RNA and internal transcribed spacer 1
Rfam family: Eukaryotic small subunit ribosomal RNA (bases 1-46)
Source: RNAcentral